RNAcentral lists this ribosomal RNA (521 nucleotides) under uncultured bacterium. RNAcentral's name for it is "bacterial SSU rRNA". It matches the Rfam family "Bacterial small subunit ribosomal RNA", at positions 777 to 1297 of the family's 1533-position model. The record is from RNAcentral.
AAUAGAUACCCUGGUAGUCCACGCCGUAAACGGUGGGCACUAGAUGUGGGGCUCUUUCCAUGAGUUCCGCGUCGCAGCUAACGCAUUAAGUGCCCCGCCUGGGGAGUACGGCCGCAAGGCUAAAACUCAAAGGAAUUGACGGGGGCCCGCACAAGCGGCGGAGCAUGCGGAUUAAUUCGAUGCAACGCGAAGAACCUUACCAAGGCUUGACAUAUACGGUCUAUCCCUAGAGAUAGGGAGUGCUUCGGCGCCGUAUACAGGUGGUGCAUGGUUGUCGUCGGCUCGUGUCGUGAGAUGUUGGGUUAAGUCCCGCAACGAGCGCAACCCUCGUCCUAUGUUGCCAGCGGAUAAUGCCGGGGACUCAUGGGAGACUGCCGGGGUCAACUCGGAGGAAGGUGGGGAUGAGGUCAAAUCAUCAUGCCCCUUAUGUCUUGGGCUUCACGCAUGCUACAAUGGCCGGUACAAAGGGCUGCAAUACCGCGAGGUGGAGCGAAUCCCAAAAAAGCCGGUCUCAGUUCGGA